Molecule: non-coding RNA, 24 nt
Filed under: Mus musculus (house mouse)
Lineage: Eukaryota; Metazoa; Chordata; Mammalia; Rodentia; Muridae
Source: RNAcentral
CAGGAAGUCUGAUGCGAAACAGUC